GAUGAACGCUGGCGGCGUGCCUAAUACAUGCAAGUCGAGCGAACAGACGAGGAGCUUGCUCCUCUGACGUUAGCGGCGGACGGGUGAGUAACACGUGGAUAACCUACCUAUAAGACUGGGAUAACUUCGGGAAACCGGAGCUAAUACCGGAUAAUAUAUUGAACCGCAUGGUUCAAUAGUGAAAGACGGUUUUGCUGUCACUUAUAGAUGGAUCCGCGCCGCAUUAGCUAGUUGGUAAGGUAACGGCUUACCAAGGCAACGAUGCGUAGCCGACCUGAGAGGGUGAUCGGCCACACGGGAACUGAGACACGGUCCAGACUCCUACGGGAGGCAGCAGUAGGGAAUCUUACGCAGUGGGCGAAAGCAUGACGGAGCAGCGCCGCGUGAGUGAUGAAGGUCUUCGGAGCGUAAAACUCUGUUAUUAGUGAAGAACAAAUGUGUAAGUAACUAUGCACGUCUUGACGGUACCUAAUCAGAAAGCCACGGCUAACUACGUG
RNAcentral lists this ribosomal RNA (497 nucleotides) under uncultured bacterium. RNAcentral describes it as "partial 16S ribosomal RNA". It matches the Rfam family "Bacterial small subunit ribosomal RNA", at positions 28 to 507 of the family's 1533-position model. The record is from RNAcentral.